RNAcentral lists this long non-coding RNA (802 nucleotides) under Homo sapiens (human). RNAcentral describes it as "HSALNT0370811". The record is from RNAcentral. Lineage: Eukaryota; Metazoa; Chordata; Mammalia; Primates; Hominidae.
GUUCUCGGGAACAGCGGCUCGGCCUGCAAGGCUGUUGUUUCAAGAAAUGAAAAUGAAGGGCGCCCUGGAAUAGGUUCGCCGAAGAGAGAGCUUGCAGGCCUCUGGGAAGCAAGCCAUCGUGUGGCAGAGGCCCAGGUGGCAAGGAACCAAGGGCGGCUUCUGGCCAACAGCCAGCGAGGACCUGAGACCGUAGCCCAACACCCCUCCAGGAACUGAAUUUUGCCAGCAACCAGUGAGUGACCUUGGAAGUGGAUCCUUCCCCCGAAAGCCCGGCUUUCAGCUCAGAGAAUGGAAAAAUAUCUCUUCCUAAAGACACAGAGAAACAUAAACAAACCUGACCAAUAGAAGGACCAAAACCUCUGCACAGUGCCUCACCCCUCGGAGGAAUUAACAAAAAUGUGAAGGUUAUUCGUUGAACCAAUAAUCUCUGAAAUUUUUGGAGUUCCAUGAAGCUUGCACCAACUAUUAUCCCUGAGAUGACCUUGGCUGUGGAACCCAGAUUCUGUUCAGGGCCGAGAGCGCCACCUGGUGAUUCCAGUUUACGGAGGCUGGUGGGACCUCAACCCCAGCUGGUAUCCAGGCUCUUGACACCAUCUGGAGAAGGAAUUCAAGAGUGUGUCAGAAAAUGAUGAAAGUACAAAGAUUUAUUGCAAAGCGAAAAAUACACACUCAAGAAAGGGGAGUAUGGGUGGACUCAAGACAGAGUCCGAUGGGACUUGGGGUUUCUACCUUUUGGGUUUCUUUUUUUUUUUUUUUUGAUAUGGAGUCUCGCACUGUUGCCCAGGCUGGAGCGCAGUGGCGU